CAGUAGCCGCGGGAAUACGUAGGGUGCAAGCGUUAAUCGGAGUUACUGGGCGUAAAGCGUGCGCAGGCGGUUAUAUAAGUCAGAUGUGAAAUCCCCGGGCUCAACCUGGGAACUGCAUUUGAGACUGUAUGGCUAGAGUGUGUCAGAGGGGGGUAGAAUUCCACGUGUAGCAGUGAAAUGCGUAGAUAUGUGGAGGAAUACCGAUGGCGAAGGCAGCCCCCUGGGAUAACACUGACGCUCAUGCACGAAAGCGUGGGGAGCAAACAGGAUUAGAGACCCCUGUAGUCCCUGUCUCUUAUAC
RNAcentral lists this ribosomal RNA (301 nucleotides) under uncultured bacterium. RNAcentral's name for it is "partial 16S ribosomal RNA". It matches the Rfam family "Bacterial small subunit ribosomal RNA", at positions 509 to 807 of the family's 1533-position model. The record is from RNAcentral.